Molecule: ribosomal RNA, 305 nt
Filed under: uncultured bacterium
Lineage: Bacteria
Description: bacterial SSU rRNA
Rfam family: Bacterial small subunit ribosomal RNA
Source: RNAcentral
UUGCCUACGGGAGGCAGCAGUGGGGAAUAUUGCACAAUGGGCGAAAGCCUGAUGCAGCAACGCCGCGUGAAGGAAGAAGGGUUUCGGCUCGUAAACUUCUAUCAACAGGGACGAAAGAAAUGACGGUACCUGAAUAAGAAGCCCCGGCUAACUACGUGCCAGCAGCCGCGGUAAUACGUAGGGAGCAAGCGUUAUCCGGAUUUAUUGGGUGUAAAGGGUGCGUAGACGGGAAAUUAAGUUAGUUGUGAAAUCCCUCGGCUCAACUGAGGAACUGCAACUAAAACUGGUUUUCUUGAGUGUUGGAG